RNAcentral lists this transfer RNA (154 nucleotides) under Cylindrospermum stagnale PCC 7417. RNAcentral's name for it is "tRNA-Und (NNN) (tRNA-Und-NNN-5-1)". Lineage: Bacteria; Bacillati; Cyanobacteriota; Cyanophyceae; Nostocales; Nostocaceae. The record is from RNAcentral.
GGAUAGCCAAAUGGUAAAGGCACUCCUGACACAAUAAGUCUCAUAAUUAGUUUUAGGUUAUUGCUCCAAUCUAAACUUAAAAAUUCACCUUCUGCAUCGACCUCUGUAAACAAAUGUCAGUGGGACACGAGUUCAAAUCUUGUCCGGUCCUCCA